RNAcentral lists this ribosomal RNA (830 nucleotides) under uncultured bacterium. RNAcentral describes it as "bacterial SSU rRNA". It matches the Rfam family "Bacterial small subunit ribosomal RNA", at positions 62 to 864 of the family's 1533-position model. The record is from RNAcentral.
GCGAGCGGAACCACAGAUUUACUUCGGUAAUGACGUUGGGAACCCUAGCGGCGGAUGGGUGAGUAACACGUGGGGAACCUGCCCCUAAGUCUGGGAUACCAUUUGGAAACAGGUGCUAAUACCGGAUAAUAAAGCGGAUCGCAUGAUCAGCUUUUGAAAGGCGGCGUAAGCUGUCGCUAAGGGAUGGCCCCGCGGUGCAUUAGCUAGUUGGUAAGGUAACGGCUUACCAAGGCGACGAUGCAUAGCCGAGUUGAGAGACUGAUCGGCCACAUUGGGACUGAGACACGGCCCAAACUCCUAUGGGAGGCAGCAGUAGGGAAUCUUCCACAAUGGACGCAAGUCCGAUGAGCAACGCCGCGUGAGUGAAGAAGGUUUUCGGAUCGUAAAGCUCUGUUGUUGGUGAAGAAGGAUAGAGGUAGUAACUGGCCUUUAUUUGACGGUAAUCAACCAGAAAGUCACGGCUAACUACGUGCCAGCAGCCGCGGUAAUACGUAGGUGGCAAGCGUUGUCCGGAUUUAUUGGGCGUAAAGCGAGCGCAGGCGGAAAAAUAAGUCUAAUGUGAAAGCCCUCGGCUUAACCGAGGAACUGCAUCGGAAACUGUUUUUCUUGAGUGCAGAAGAGGAGAGUGGAACUCCAUGUGUAGCGGUGGAAUGCGUAGAUAUAUGGAAGAACACCAGUGGCGAAGGCGGCUCUCUGGUCUGCAACUGACGCUGAGGCUCGAAAGCAUGGGUAGCGAACAGGAUUAGAUACCCUGGUAGUCCAUGCCGUAAACGAUGAGUGCUAAGUGUUGGGAGGUUUCCGCCUCUCAGUGCUGCAGCUAACGCAUUAAG